This 426-nucleotide ribosomal RNA is filed under the name Salmonella enterica subsp. enterica serovar Eschberg. RNAcentral's name for it is "partial 23S ribosomal RNA". It matches the Rfam family "Bacterial large subunit ribosomal RNA", at positions 1273 to 1699 of the family's 2925-position model. Lineage: Bacteria; Pseudomonadati; Pseudomonadota; Gammaproteobacteria; Enterobacterales; Enterobacteriaceae. The record is from RNAcentral.
CUGGAGGUAUCAGAAGUGCGAAUGCUGACAUAAGUAACGAUAAAGCGGGUGAAAAGCCCGCUCGCCGGAAGACCAAGGGUUCCUGUCCAACGUUAAUCGGGGCAGGGUGAGUCGACCCCUAAGGCGAGGCCGAAAGGCGUAGUCGAUGGGAAACGGGUUAAUAUUCCCGUACUUGGUGUUACUGCGAAGGGGGGACGGAGAAGGCUAUGUUGGCCGGGCGACGGUUGUCCCGGUUUAAGCGUGUAGGUGUGUGUUCCAGGUAAAUCCGGUUCACUUUAACACUGAGGCGUGACGACGAGGCACUACGGUGCUGAAGCAACAAAUGCCCUGCUUCCAGGAAAAGCCUCUAAGCAUCAGGUAACAUCAAAUCGUACCCCAAACCGACACAGGUGGUCAGGUAGAGAAUACCAAGGCGCUUGAGAGAAC